GCCGUUGUAGCUCAACUGGUAGAGCAACUGACUUGUAAUCAGUAGGUUGGGGGUUCAAGUCCUCUCGACGGCA
Molecule: transfer RNA, 73 nt
Organism: Paenibacillus pectinilyticus
Lineage: Bacteria; Bacillati; Bacillota; Bacilli; Caryophanales; Paenibacillaceae
Rfam family: tRNA
About the family: Transfer RNA (tRNA) molecules are approximately 80 nucleotides in length. Their secondary structure includes four short double-helical elements and three loops (D, anti-codon, and T loops).
Source: Rfam